Small nucleolar RNA from Octodon degus (degu), 133 nucleotides. NCBI's taxonomy places the organism in Eukaryota, Metazoa, Chordata, Mammalia, Rodentia, Octodontidae. The record is from Ensembl.
AGCCUCAUUCUGGAUUAGAAGGAGCACUGCUGGUUGGUGUCCAGCACUGGUCAGUGCGGCUGACACUGAGACUCAGGUCAUGCUCCCAUUGCAGUAAAUAUUUGCAGUGAUGACAAUGGGGCCUGUAACAUUC